Molecule: ribosomal RNA, 460 nt
Filed under: uncultured bacterium
Lineage: Bacteria
Description: partial 16S ribosomal RNA
Rfam family: Bacterial small subunit ribosomal RNA
Source: RNAcentral
CCUACGGGAGGCUGCAGUGAGGAAUAUUGGUCAAUGGACGCAAGUCUGAACCAGCCAUGCCGCGUGCAGGAAGACGGCUCUAUGAGUUGUAAACUGCUUUUGUACGAGGGUAAACGCAGAUACGCGUAUCUGUCUGAAAGUAUCGUACGAAUAAGGAUCGGCUAACUCCGUGCCAGCAGCCGCGGUAAUACGGAGGAUUCAAGCGUUAUCCGGAUUUAUUGGGUUUAAAGGGUGCGUAGGCGGUCGGAUAAGUUAGAGGUGAAAUCCCGAGGCUCAACUUCGGAAUUGCCUCUGAUAUGGUUCGGCGAGAGGGUAGUUGCGGUAGGAGGAAUGUAUGGUGUAGCGGUGAAAUGCUUAGAGAUCAUACAGAACACCGAUUGCGAAGGCAGCUUACCAAGCUACUUCUGACGUGGAGGCACGAAAGCGUGGGGAGCAAACAGGAUCAGAUACCCGUGGAGUC